GCCCUUGUAGCCCAACCGGCAGAGGCAACGGGUUCAGGACCCGUCCAGUGUGCGUUCGAAUCGCACCAAGGGCA
RNAcentral lists this transfer RNA (74 nucleotides) under Actinomycetota bacterium. RNAcentral describes it as "tRNA-Leu". It matches the Rfam family "tRNA". Rfam says of the family: Transfer RNA (tRNA) molecules are approximately 80 nucleotides in length. Their secondary structure includes four short double-helical elements and three loops (D, anti-codon, and T loops). The record is from RNAcentral. Lineage: Bacteria; Bacillati; Actinomycetota.